RNAcentral lists this ribosomal RNA (850 nucleotides) under Klebsiella pneumoniae. RNAcentral describes it as "partial 23S ribosomal RNA". It matches the Rfam family "Bacterial large subunit ribosomal RNA", at positions 419 to 1271 of the family's 2925-position model. The record is from RNAcentral. Lineage: Bacteria; Pseudomonadati; Pseudomonadota; Gammaproteobacteria; Enterobacterales; Enterobacteriaceae.
GGGACACGUGGUAUCCUGUCUGAAUAUGGGGGGACCAUCCUCCAAGGCUAAAUACUCCUGACUGACCGAUAGUGAACCAGUACCGUGAGGGAAAGGCGAAAAGAACCCCGGCGAGGGGAGUGAAAAAGAACCUGAAACCGUGUACGUACAAGCAGUGGGAGCACCUUCGGGUGUGACUGCGUACCUUUUGUAUAAUGGGUCAGCGACUUAUAUUCUGUAGCAAGGUUAACCGUAUAGGGGAGCCGCAGGGAAACCGAGUCUUAACUGGGCGUUAAGUUGCAGGGUAUAGACCCGAAACCCGGUGAUCUAGCCAUGGGCAGGUUGAAGGUUGGGUAACACUAACUGGAGGACCGAACCGACUAAUGUUGAAAAAUUAGCGGAUGACUUGUGGCUGGGGGUGAAAGGCCAAUCAAACCGGGAGAUAGCUGGUUCUCCCCGAAAGCUAUUUAGGUAGCGCCUCGUGAAUUCAUCUUCGGGGGUAGAGCACUGUUUCGGCUAGGGGGUCAUCCCGACUUACCAACCCGAUGCAAACUACGAAUACCGAAGAAUGUUAUCACGGGAGACACACGGCGGGUGCUAACGUCCGUCGUGAAGAGGGAAACAACCCAGACCGCCAGCUAAGGUCCCAAAGUCAUGGUUAAGUGGGAAACGAUGUGGGAAGGCACAGACAGCCAGGAUGUUGGCUUAGAAGCAGCCAUCAUUUAAAGAAAGCGUAAUAGCUCACUGGUCGAGUCGGCCUGCGCGGAAGAUGUAACGGGGCUAAACCAUGCACCGAAGCUGCGGCAGCGACACUAUGUGUUGUUGGGUAGGGGAGCGUUCUGUAAGCCUGCGAAGGUGACCUGUGAGGGUU